Molecule: ribosomal RNA, 828 nt
Filed under: uncultured bacterium
Lineage: Bacteria
Description: bacterial SSU rRNA
Rfam family: Bacterial small subunit ribosomal RNA
Source: RNAcentral
AGAGUUUGAUCAUGGCUCAGAAUGAACGUUGGCGGCGUGGAUUAGGCAUGCAAGUCAUGCGGAAAGGCCCCGCAAGGGGUACCCGAGCGGCGAAAGGGAUAGUAACGCGUAGGUCACCUACCCUCGGGACGGGGAUAGCUGGGGGAAACUCCAAUUAAUACCCGAUAACAUCUCCGGAUCAAAGGUGUGAUUCCGCCUGAGGACGGGCCUGCGUCUUAUCAGCUAGUUGGUGAGGUAACGGCCCACCAAGGCAACGACGAGUAGCGGGUGUGAGAGCACGACCCGCAUCACUGGGACUGAGAUACUGCCCAGACACCUACGGGUGGCUGCAGUCGAGGAUCUUCGGCAAUGGGCGAAAGCCUGACCGAGCGACGCCGCGUGCGGGAUGAAGGCCUUCGGGUUGUAAACCGCUGUCAGUGGGGAGGAAGUCUGGGAGGGAUCACCCUCUCAGUUGACCUAUCCGCAGAGGAAGGACGGGCUAAGUUCGUGCCAGCAGCCGCGGUAAUACGAACCGUCCUAACGUUAUUCGGAAUCACUGGGCUUAAAGGGUGCGUAGGCGGUCCGGUAAGUUGGGUGUGAAAUCCCUCGGCUCAACCGAGGAAUUGCGCUCAAAACUGUCGGACUUGAGGGAGACAGAGGUGAGUGGAACUUAGGGUGGAGCGGUGAAAUGCGUUGAUAUCCUAAGGAACACCGGUGGCGAAAGCGACUCACUGGGUCUCUUCUGACGCUGAGGCACGAAAGCUAGGGUAGCGAACGGGAUUAGAUACCCCGGUAGUCCUAGCCGUAAACGAUGAGCACUAGGUCGAAGGGUACACCAUAGCCUUUUGG